RNAcentral lists this ribosomal RNA (622 nucleotides) under Haemophilus influenzae. RNAcentral's name for it is "bacterial SSU rRNA". It matches the Rfam family "Bacterial small subunit ribosomal RNA", at positions 1 to 608 of the family's 1533-position model. Lineage: Bacteria; Pseudomonadati; Pseudomonadota; Gammaproteobacteria; Pasteurellales; Pasteurellaceae. The record is from RNAcentral.
ACUUGAAUUGAAGAGUUUGAUCAUGGCUCAGAUUGAACGCUGGCGGCAGGCUUAACACAUGCAAGUCGAACGGUAGCAGGAGAAAGCUUGCUUUCUUGCUGACGAGUGGCGGACGGGUGAGUAAUGCUUGGGAAUCUGGCUUAUGGAGGGGGAUAACGACGGGAAACUGUCGCUAAUACCGCGUAUUAUCGGAAGAUGAAAGUGCGGGACUGAGAGGCCGCAUGCCAUAGGAUGAGCCCAAGUGGGAUUAGGUAGUUGGUGGGGUAAAGGCCUACCAAGCCUGCGAUCUCUAGCUGGUCUGAGAGGAUGACCAGCCACACUGGAACUGAGACACGGUCCAGACUCCUACGGGAGGCAGCAGUGGGGAAUAUUGCGCAAUGGGGGGAACCCUGACGCAGCCAUGCCGCGUGAAUGAAGAAGGCCUUCGGGUUGUAAAGUUCUUUCGGUAUUGAGGAAGGUUGAUGUGUUAAUAGCACAUCAAAUUGACGUUAAAUACAGAAGAAGCACCGGCUAACUCCGUGCCAGCAGCCGCGGUAAUACGGAGGGUGCGAGCGUUAAUCGGAAUAACUGGGCGUAAAGGGCACGCAGGCGGUUAUUUAAGUGAGGUGUGAAAGCCCUGGGC